Non-coding RNA from Tupaia belangeri (northern tree shrew), 107 nucleotides. NCBI's taxonomy places the organism in Eukaryota, Metazoa, Chordata, Mammalia, Scandentia, Tupaiidae. The record is from Rfam.
CUCACGCUCCCGCAGGGCUCAGCAUCCCCGGGGCCUGGCCUGAUCUUCCUGGGCCGCUGGUCUACAGGGCAGAACGCCCUCUUCAGGGGUGCCUACACUGCAGGCCU